This 497-nucleotide ribosomal RNA is filed under the name uncultured bacterium. RNAcentral describes it as "partial 16S ribosomal RNA". It matches the Rfam family "Bacterial small subunit ribosomal RNA", at positions 28 to 507 of the family's 1533-position model. The record is from RNAcentral.
GACGAACGCUGGCGGCGUGCCUAAUACAUGCAAGUAGAACGCUGAAGAGAGGAGCUUGCUCUUCUUGGAUGAGUUGCGAACGGGUGAGUAACGCGUAGGUAACCUGCCUUGUAGCGGGGGAUAACUAUUGGAAACGAUAGCUAAUACCGCAUAACAAUGGAUGACACAUGUCAUUUAUUUGAAAGGGGCAAUUGCUCCACUACAAGAUGGACCUGCGUUGUAUUAGCUAGUAGGUGAGGUAACGGCUCACCUAGGCGACGAUACAUAGCCGACCUGAGAGGGUGAUCGGCCACACUGGGACUGAGACACGGCCCAGACUCCUACGGGAGGCAGCAGUAGGGAAUCUUAGGCAAUGGGGGCAACCCUGACCGAGCAACGCCGCGUGAGUGAAGAAGGUUUUCGGAUCGUAAAGCUCUGUUGUAAGUCAAGAACGAGUGUGAGAGUGGAAAGUUCACACUGUGACGGUAGCUUACCAGAAAGGGACGGCUAACUACGUG